RNAcentral lists this non-coding RNA (422 nucleotides) under Mus musculus (house mouse). The record is from RNAcentral. Lineage: Eukaryota; Metazoa; Chordata; Mammalia; Rodentia; Muridae.
GAGGACCGUAUUCAUGGAAGAGGAUUGAACAGAGAUGAAGUAGACAGUAUGUUGGAUAAAUCUGGAGUAAAGAACCCAGCAAUUGGUAAAGAUGAGAAUAUAUCGCCUCAAGUAAAAGGAGAUGAAGACAUGGGAGAUGAAAUUGACAGUAUGUUGGCUACAUCUGGAGGUCUUUUCUCCUGAGAACACGGGACUCCAGCAUCUUCGGAUUCUGCUCUUGGAGGGGUUUGCCCCACAUCCUCUAUAUUGCAGAAAACAAGACUAGGCUCUACCUCUGUAGAUCAAGCACGACUGAAAUCCGUGCUCUCAAAAGAUGCUGGGGAGAAAGAGUGCCAUUCUUCACAAAUGCUGCUGCAUCAUUGGACUGAAAGUGAAUGGCCCAUGUGUUGCCACUGAUGUGAGCCAUUUGCCUGUUGUGCUUC